Malus domestica (apple) is the source of this 97-nucleotide non-coding RNA. RefSeq annotates it as microRNA MIR166e. Lineage: Eukaryota; Viridiplantae; Streptophyta; Magnoliopsida; Rosales; Rosaceae. The record is from RefSeq and is marked provisional.
AGUUGAGGGAAAUGUUGUCUGGUUCGAGAUCUUUCAGUGAAGCUUGGAUAUUGUCAUCAUCUGAAUGAUUUCGGACCAGGCUUCAUUCCCCUCAACU